GGCCUCGUGGUCGAGUGGUAAGUACAUUUGCCUCUCACUCUGUAGUCACAGGAUCAAUCCCCGGUCGAGGAGCUA
This is a non-coding RNA of Rhamnusium bicolor, 75 nucleotides long. NCBI's taxonomy places the organism in Eukaryota, Metazoa, Arthropoda, Insecta, Coleoptera, Cerambycidae. The record is from the annotation of a GenBank genome assembly.